RNAcentral lists this ribosomal RNA (301 nucleotides) under uncultured bacterium. RNAcentral's name for it is "partial 16S ribosomal RNA". It matches the Rfam family "Bacterial small subunit ribosomal RNA", at positions 509 to 807 of the family's 1533-position model. The record is from RNAcentral.
CAGCAGCCACGGUAAUACGUAGGGUGCAAGCGUUAAUCGGAAUUACUGGGCGUAAAGCGUGCGCAGGCGGUUAUAUAAGACAGAUGUGAAAUCCCCGGGCUCAACCUGGGAACUGCAUUUGUGACUGUAUAGCUAGAGUACGGCAGAGGGGGAUGGAAUUCCGCGUGUAGCAGUGAAAUGCGUAGAUAUGCGGAGGAACACCGAUGGCGAAGGCAAUCCCCUGGGCCUGUACUGACGCUCAUGCACGAAAGCGUGGGGAGCAAACAGGAUUAGAUACCCCAGUAGUCCCUGUCUCUUAUAC